GGGCGCGUGGCCUAGCCUGGAUAGGGCGCUGGCCUUCUAAGCCAGCAGUCGCGGGUUCAAAUCCCGCCGCGUCCG
This 75-nucleotide transfer RNA is filed under the name Thermoplasmata archaeon. RNAcentral's name for it is "tRNA-Arg". It matches the Rfam family "tRNA". From Rfam's summary of the family: Transfer RNA (tRNA) molecules are approximately 80 nucleotides in length. Their secondary structure includes four short double-helical elements and three loops (D, anti-codon, and T loops). The record is from RNAcentral. Lineage: Archaea; Methanobacteriati; Thermoplasmatota; Thermoplasmata.